AACUUUCAGCAACGGCUCUCUUGGCUCUCGCAUCGAUGAAGAACGCAGCGAAAUGCGAUACGUAAUGUGAAUUGCAGAAUUCAGUGAAUCAUCGAAUCUUUGAACGCACCUUGCGCCCCUUGGAAUUCCGAGGGGCACACCCGUUUGAGUGUCGUGAACAUCCUUCAACCUUUCUUGGUUUCUUAACCGGGGAAGGCUUGGACUUUGGGGGUCUUUCAUUGCUGGCCUCUUUGAAGCCAGCUCCUCCUAAAUGGAUUAGUGUGGUCUGCUUUGCCGAUCCUUGACGUGAUAAGAUGUUUCUACGUCUUGGGUUUCGCACUGUCGCUUUAGACCCCGCUUCUAACCGUCUUGCAUUCAAGACAGAGUUUUAAACCUUGACCUCAAAUCGGGUGAGACUACCCGCUGAACUUAAGCAUAUCAAUAAGCGGAGGCU
This 433-nucleotide unclassified non-coding RNA is filed under the name uncultured Russula. RNAcentral's name for it is "sequence contains ITS2". The stretch from base 1 to 154 matches the Rfam family "5.8S ribosomal RNA". The record is from RNAcentral. Lineage: Eukaryota; Fungi; Basidiomycota; Agaricomycetes; Russulales; Russulaceae.